Phyllostomus hastatus (greater spear-nosed bat) is the source of this 2293-nucleotide long non-coding RNA. RefSeq lists it as uncharacterized. The transcript is spliced from 4 exons. NCBI's taxonomy places the organism in Eukaryota, Metazoa, Chordata, Mammalia, Chiroptera, Phyllostomidae. The record is from RefSeq and is a predicted model, not a curated record.
UGCAGGGGAUGCCCGAGGUGCCGCCAUAGGACCCCGGUUCCAGCCGGCGGGAAGGCCCGGUUGCCCCUCUUGGGCCCCUGAUUCAGCAGCCGCUCGAUCCCGCGCGUCCAUCUCAGGUCUUCACGAAAGUGAAAGAGAGCCAAAAAUAAGGUAGAUACUAUGGCAUGCCCAUUUUACAAAGAAAGAAACUGAAGCAACUUGCCAAAGGCCACGCAAACAGCUGAGAAGUGUCAGAUCCAGUCUGUGCUUGAGGAAACACUACCCCAAAGCUUGUUUUCUGAUGGGCUGUUCAACCAAUAUUGCGCUCAGAAGAAUUGAAACUGGGGUCCAGCGUUCAUGGCCUGUCCAGUGGGAAAGAUUUGGAGCCAAGAGGCCAGGAUUCAGACCCAGUUUUAUUCCUUCUCCGGACCCAGCAAGCAGGUAAUUUAUUACAGAGAUCUGGCGGGGCCCACAGUGAAGCCCGCUGGCUCUGCAGGGGGUGACACGGGCAGAAAUGGAUCUUGUUUUCAAACCGAACUGAAGGAAGAGCAGAGAGUUGGCGUUUUGACUGUACGAGAGACCGCUCUGUGCAGCCCUCCCUGCCCACACACGGGGAAGUAUGGUUCAGAGUUUGAGAGUCAUCACAGCUGCCUGCACUGACCUGACUCUCCACCAUCAGCUAAUGGGAAAGCUGGCCUCCCACACACCAGCUGCGUCCCAGAUCAGUGCUUUCCCAGUGAGCAAUGAAAAGCAAAGGCAAGCACAAAAACAGGAAGAAAUAGCUUUCCAAGUACCCUUUCAUCGAGAAGAAUAGAAACUGCAAACAGUAUUUUCAUCGUUAGUUAUCAUGCGAUGUUCACCAUGUUCCAGGGAGAUUGAAGGUGAAGCUCUCUCAGCCCCCCACCCUACCUACCCACCAUGAUCCACCCACACUCACUCAUCUGUAAAACUGAACUCGCAUAAACCCCCAGGGAAUGUCCAGAUUUCAGAGUGUAUCUACCUGUAAAAUAUGGAGGAAGCAACUUUCUUUAUUCUUGUCUUCUACAAAGGAGUAAAGGGAAGACAGUAACAUUGACUGAGCACCUGGCAUGUGCCAAGGCAUUUUCAUGGACAGCAUUUAAUCCACAUUAUGACACUUUGAGAUAACUAUUCUUAUGGUUAUCGAUGUAGAGACUUAAUCAUUUCAGAAUGAUUAACAAAUUUAUUCAAGAUCACAUAGCAAAUAACGGGUAAAGACAGCACUCUAACCCCAUUGUACCUUAUUUUUCCCAUGAAUUCAUCUUCUAGAAUGUGAAAGGAGAGAAGUAUGGUAUAAACUAUCAAUACGGUUUUUUCAGUUGGUGAAAUAGAAAAAAUAUUGAGCUUAUUUUAAAAUCAAUCAAUCAAUCCUGGUUGUUUCUUCCUAAAAGGCAACUUUGACUAGCAAAAAUCCCUAAAAAAUGAAGCCCUGCUGGUAUUUGAAAGUGACCACAUUCUUUUCAGUAGGUGUCAAUGGGUCAAAUUCUGACAUUCCACUGAAAUCCCCAGGAAGGCUAGAAAAUAUUACCAUUUCUGAAACCAUGAGAUCUGUCAAGGGGGAUAAAACAGCCUUUCAUUAGAAAGUGAACACACAAUCAUUUAGCUCACGAGCGUGUCAGUUGUGAUGUGUGUUCAGCAGUUUACUGCCAGUAACUGAAGUUAGCAAGUGGUUCCUCAGAUAUGAUAACAUGCUUAUUCUAGUAUACUUCCUACAUUUUUUGUGUUUUUGAAAAUUUACAUGAACAAAAUAUGUUUCUUUUUAAUUGUCGCUAUUUUUAUUAAAGCAUAAUUGGAGACAGUGAAAUGAGAGACGUUAAGUACAUGGUUCGAUGAGAUUCGGCAGCCGCACACCUUUGGGGGACCCGCACCCACAUGAUGCAGAACACCGCCCCGACCCCCGACGUGGUUCCCGAGCCCUGCCCAGCAGUGUCCCCUGCGCCCCUCCACAGGCAGCCACUGUCCUGGUUCUCUGCCAUAGACUGGUUUUGCCUAUUUCAGAACUUGUAUAUAAAAAGGAAUCAUGCAGUGUGUACCCCUUUGUAUCUGGCUUCUUUUACUCUGUUUCACGAUAUUCAGGCCCAUGCACAUGUUGUGUGUGUCCAAAGCUAUUUUUUCUGAGUAGCAUUCCUUUGUGGCAAAGUAGCCAUUUUGUUUAUUCAUUUUCCGGAGGAUGGGCAUUUGAGUUUUUUCUAAUUUGUUGCUGUUCUAGUUGUUGAGGCCAAGGCUGGGAAAAAAGAAAAGAGCAAGGUAAAAUUUUUUGAAAUGUGAUUUUUUUUUGGAGUAUUCAGUGUAAUGA